UGCGUAGGUGGUUUAUUAAGUUUCAAGGAAAAACUUAAGUUUAAAACUUAAUUGCCUUUUAAUACUAAUAGACUAGAGUUUAAAAGAAGAUAGCUGAACAUUAAGUGUAAAGGUGAAAUUUUCAAUAUUUAAAGGGCAUUCGGUAGGCGAAAGCUGCUAUCUAUUUUAAUACUGACACUGAGGCACGAAAGCAUAGGGAUCGAACA
This 206-nucleotide ribosomal RNA is filed under the name uncultured bacterium. RNAcentral's name for it is "partial 16S ribosomal RNA". It matches the Rfam family "Bacterial small subunit ribosomal RNA", at positions 568 to 774 of the family's 1533-position model. The record is from RNAcentral.